GCUACGGGGGGCAGCAGUGGGGAAUAUUGGACAAUGGGGGGAACCCUGAUCCAGCCAUGCCGCGUGUGUGAAGAAGGCCCUCGGGUUGUAAAGCACUUUCAGUGAGGAAGAACGCCUGGUGGUUAAUACCCAUCAGGAAAGACAUCACUCACAGAAGAAGCACCGGCUAACUCCGUGCCAGCAGCCGCGGUAAUACGGAGGGUGCGAGCGUUAAUCGGAAUUACUGGGCGUAAAGCGCGCGUAGGUGGCUUGAUAAGCCGGUUGUGAAAGCCCCGGGCUCAACCUGGGAACGGCAUCCGGAACUGUCAAGCUAGAGUGCAGGAGAGGAAGGUAGAAUUCCCGGUGUAGCGGUGAAAUGCGUAGAGAUCGGGAGGAAUACCAGUGGCGAAGGCGGCCUUCUGGACUGACACUGACACUGAGGUGCGAAAGCGUGGGUAGCAAACAGGAUUAGAUACCCUAGUAGUC
RNAcentral lists this ribosomal RNA (465 nucleotides) under Vreelandella stevensii. Its description in RNAcentral is "partial 16S ribosomal RNA". It matches the Rfam family "Bacterial small subunit ribosomal RNA", at positions 338 to 795 of the family's 1533-position model. The record is from RNAcentral. Lineage: Bacteria; Pseudomonadati; Pseudomonadota; Gammaproteobacteria; Oceanospirillales; Halomonadaceae.